AAGGGAGACCUAAUUCAGGUAGGAGACGAAAAAAAAGUAGUCGCUACCAAGAAUCAAUCCCAAAAGGUCGGAGCGAGGCGAAAUUGGCUUUCAAACUAGGUUCUGGGUUCAAACAAGACCUGAAUCAGGAACAAGGGCUAUUAGCUCAGGUGGUUAGAGCGCACCCCUGAUAAGGGUGAGGUCCCUGGUUCGAGUCCAGGAUGGCCCACCUGCACAGGUGGCAAAAACAAGAGAAGCGAGGAAUCAGCACCUUAUCUUAUAUACAUAUAUAAGAGAGAAUGCUGGCUCUGAGUACAGAGUCCAGAGGAACCUUGAAAACUGCAUAGAGCUAGGUGAAAAAGCCAAAAAAGAAGACCGCAA
RNAcentral lists this transfer RNA (360 nucleotides) under uncultured Microcystis sp. RNAcentral describes it as "partial miscellaneous RNA". The stretch from base 135 to 208 matches the Rfam family "tRNA". Lineage: Bacteria; Bacillati; Cyanobacteriota; Cyanophyceae; Chroococcales; Microcystaceae. The record is from RNAcentral.